RNAcentral lists this ribosomal RNA (200 nucleotides) under Cladophialophora sp. RNAcentral describes it as "partial large subunit ribosomal RNA". It matches the Rfam family "Eukaryotic large subunit ribosomal RNA", at positions 82 to 279 of the family's 3401-position model. The record is from RNAcentral. Lineage: Eukaryota; Fungi; Ascomycota; Eurotiomycetes; Chaetothyriales; Herpotrichiellaceae.
AGUAACGGCGAGUGAAGCGGCAACAGCUCAAAUUUGAAAUCUGGCCUCUUUCGGGGUCCGAGUUGUAAUUUGUAGAGUAUUUUUUGGGUACCGCGCUGGUUUAAAUUUCUUGGAACAGAAUGUCAGAGAGGGUGAGAAUCCCGUCUUGGAUCGGCGUAGGGCCCGUGUAAAACUCCUUCGACGAGUCGAGUUGUUUGGGA